Virgibacillus sp. is the source of this 112-nucleotide regulatory RNA element. It matches the Rfam family "epsC RNA". NCBI's taxonomy places the organism in Bacteria, Bacillati, Bacillota, Bacilli, Caryophanales, Bacillaceae. The record is from Rfam.
UGGUGAUGUCUUCUAACCAUUAUCAAUGAAGGCACUCGAUCAUGCUGUGGGUUGGUUAACCUUAGACGCAUUCGUUGUCGAAAGUGUGAUGUGAGGGCGGGUUGGAUGCCCC